RNAcentral lists this small RNA (111 nucleotides) under Flavobacterium sp. 1. Its description in RNAcentral is "Flavo-1 RNA". It matches the Rfam family "Flavo-1 RNA". Lineage: Bacteria; Pseudomonadati; Bacteroidota; Flavobacteriia; Flavobacteriales; Flavobacteriaceae. The record is from RNAcentral.
AGUUCGCGUGAGGGAUUAAAGUGGAGCUCUUUUUUCUUUAUCAAUUGCCUCGGGUUUAAACCCGAGGCAAUUGAUAAAGAAAAAAAGCGGGAACGGAAAGCCCGACCUGUA